UGGGUUGUUAUGGAUCAUUUGAUUCUUCUGCACUCAAGAUAAUUCAACUAAGGGUACAUUCCACUUCCAUCCCCGUUUUGCACAUCUUUUCUUCUUCGUGUCGGUGUUUAUGGAUCGGAUAUGACAUAAAAAAUACAUGCAGUUUAUAUCUGUGAUGUACUAGGAAAAUAUAAUGCAUGAAAAAUGGAUUUGGAACCUGUUGUAGCUUAGUUUUUUUAACAAAACCUUGUUUCUCACACUUAACUAACUUUAAGCUAGGAAAAACCUGUCUCCA
RNAcentral lists this long non-coding RNA (274 nucleotides) under Setaria viridis. Its description in RNAcentral is "long non-coding RNA (SVIR_LNC009783)". The record is from RNAcentral. Lineage: Eukaryota; Viridiplantae; Streptophyta; Magnoliopsida; Poales; Poaceae.